CACGCGGGUUGCGAGCGUUGUCCGGAAUUACUAGGCGUAAAGGGCAGGCAGGCGGAUCCAUAAGUUUAUCGUUUAAGGCGUCGGCUUAACCGGCGUAGGGCGGUAGAUACUGUGGAUCUGGAAUGCGGUUGGGGAAGACAGAAUUCCUGGUGUAGCGGUGGAAUGCGCAGAGAUCAGGAGGAAUACCGAAGGCGAAGGCAGUCUUCCAAGCCGUUAUUGACGCUCAACUGCGAAGGUGUGGGUAUCAAACAGGAUUAGAUACCCUGGUAGUCCCU
This 275-nucleotide ribosomal RNA is filed under the name uncultured prokaryote. RNAcentral describes it as "partial 16S ribosomal RNA". It matches the Rfam family "Bacterial small subunit ribosomal RNA", at positions 524 to 798 of the family's 1533-position model. The record is from RNAcentral.